AGGAGCCCGUGGGCAGCUGACGGUGGCCCGGCGAGGCCGCUGAGGAAAGUCCUCGCUCCGAAACGCAACGCGGCCCGGCGCAAGCCGGGGGGCCGAGAGGCCCGGCAACCGCACAGAGACGACACCGCCUCCGGGGAGGAUGAUCGGCGAUUGCGGCCGUGACGUUCCCGGGGGAGAGGGUGGAACGGCGAGCCCCCGCGGGAGCAAGUCCCAUGCGGACGCUGAGUUGAAUGCUGCCAGAACAGAACGAGGCUUACGGCGGGCACCU
RNAcentral lists this RNase P RNA (268 nucleotides) under Euryarchaeota archaeon RBG_16_68_12. RNAcentral's name for it is "RNase P RNA component". It matches the Rfam family "Archaeal RNase P". From Rfam's summary of the family: Ribonuclease P (RNase P) is a ubiquitous endoribonuclease, found in archaea, bacteria and eukarya as well as chloroplasts and mitochondria. Its best characterised activity is the generation of mature 5'-ends of tRNAs by cleaving the 5'-leader elements of precursor-tRNAs. Lineage: Archaea; Methanobacteriati; Methanobacteriota. The record is from RNAcentral.